Molecule: transfer RNA, 73 nt
Filed under: Cavia porcellus (domestic guinea pig)
Lineage: Eukaryota; Metazoa; Chordata; Mammalia; Rodentia; Caviidae
Rfam family: tRNA
About the family: Transfer RNA (tRNA) molecules are approximately 80 nucleotides in length. Their secondary structure includes four short double-helical elements and three loops (D, anti-codon, and T loops). Further hydrogen bonds mediate the characteristic L-shaped molecular structure. tRNAs have two regions of fundamental functional importance: the anti-codon, which is responsible for specific mRNA codon recognition, and the 3' end, to which the tRNAs corresponding amino acid is attached (by aminoacyl-tRNA synthetases). tRNAs cope with the degeneracy of the genetic code in two manners: having more than one tRNA (with a specific anti-codon) for a particular amino acid; and 'wobble' base-pairing, i.e. permitting non-standard base-pairing at the 3rd anti-codon position.
Source: Rfam by way of RNAcentral
GUUUAUAAAGCUCAGCGGCAUAAGCGCCUGCCUUGAAAGCAGGCAGUCGUGAGUUCGAACCCCAGUACCGAUA